Molecule: transfer RNA, 66 nt
Filed under: Calumma oshaughnessyi
Lineage: Eukaryota; Metazoa; Chordata; Lepidosauria; Squamata; Chamaeleonidae
Also listed under: 1 other name
Description: tRNA-Met
Source: RNAcentral
ACCAGGAUCUGCUACAUAAGCAAUUGGGCCCAUGCCCCAAAAACGAUAACACUAUAUCUCCUCGUA